Molecule: long non-coding RNA, 295 nt
Filed under: Olea europaea (common olive)
Lineage: Eukaryota; Viridiplantae; Streptophyta; Magnoliopsida; Lamiales; Oleaceae
Description: long non-coding RNA (OEUR_LNC006158)
Source: RNAcentral
AAAUAAUCCAUAGAUGAGACGGGAAAUGAAAUGAAGAUUCAAGAGUGUUAAAGUUCAAUCGGAUGAGGAAAGGAGUCAAGAGGUGAAAUAUGGUCGAAGUAUUAUCAAGUAUCAAAUUUCAAGCGAAAAAGUUAUGCUCGUGAUUUUGAGUCUCUACUUGAGAUCCAUUUUUGGCAUAGUAAAUAUCAGAAUUUGAGGAAGCCUAUUUCUAUCAAAAGUGUACAUAUUUGAGUUUUCUUCCCAAUGCACUUUGAAUCACUUCAAUCGGAGAUUGGGAGAGAAAGUUAUGACCAAA